RNAcentral lists this ribosomal RNA (497 nucleotides) under uncultured bacterium. RNAcentral's name for it is "partial 16S ribosomal RNA". It matches the Rfam family "Bacterial small subunit ribosomal RNA", at positions 28 to 507 of the family's 1533-position model. The record is from RNAcentral.
GAUGAACGCUGGCGGCGUGCCUAAUACAUGCAAGUCGAGCGAACAGACGAGGAGCUUGCUCCUUUGACGUUAGCGGCGGACGGGUGAGUAACACGUGGAUAACCUACCUAUAAGACUGGGAGAACUUCGGGAAAACGGAGCUAAUACCGGAUAACCUGUUUAACCGCAUGGUUCAACAGUGAAAGACGGUCUUGUCGUCACUUAUAGAUGGAUCCGCGCCGCAUUAGCAAGUUGGUAAGGUAACGGCUUACAAAGGCAACGAUGCGUAGCCGACCUGAGAGGGGGACCGGCACAACUGGAACUGAGCCACGCUCCAGACUCCUACGGGAGCCACAAGUAGGGAAUCUUCGGAAAUGAGGGAAGGCCUGACGGAGCAAGGCCGCGUGAGUGAAGAAGGUCUCCGGAUCGUAAGACUCUGUUAUUAGGGAGGAACAACUGUGUAAGAAACUAUGCACGGAUUGACGGUACCUAAACAGAAAGCCACGGCUAACUACGUG